UACGUAGGAGGCAAGCGUUAUCCGGAUUUAUUGGGCGUAAAGAGCACGCAGGUGGCUCUUCAAGUCAGAUGUAAAAUCUCCCGGCUUAACUGGGAGGGAUCAUUUGAUACUGUCGAGCUAGAGGGCAGCAGAGGGAGGUGGAAUUCCCGGUGUAGUGGUGAAAUGCGUAGAUAUCGGGAGGAACACCAGUGGCGAAAGCGGCCUUCUGGGCUGUUCCUGACACUGAGGUGCGAAAGCGUGGGGAGCGAAC
RNAcentral lists this ribosomal RNA (250 nucleotides) under uncultured bacterium. Its description in RNAcentral is "partial 16S ribosomal RNA". It matches the Rfam family "Bacterial small subunit ribosomal RNA", at positions 524 to 773 of the family's 1533-position model. The record is from RNAcentral.